This is a long non-coding RNA of Oncorhynchus gorbuscha (pink salmon), 1210 nucleotides long. RefSeq lists it as uncharacterized. The transcript has 3 exons. The record is from RefSeq and is a predicted model, not a curated record. NCBI's taxonomy places the organism in Eukaryota, Metazoa, Chordata, Actinopteri, Salmoniformes, Salmonidae.
UCCUUUCUAUCAGUGUACUACGCCCCCCCCCCCAAAAAAAACUAUUGUUUUUAAUGGCUCUAGUUGUGACAGAAUCACUGGUUAAAUUCCUACACGUGAUGAUUGCUGUUUAAAAAGGAAAUUAUUUAAAUAUGAAUUCUUACCUGUCAGACAUCACAUCAUUGGAGGCAGUAGCAAUUAUGAACCCAACAAUAGUAGCCAGAGUUGCAUGGAUGGAGGACAGCAACCUUGUGAAGAGAUGGAAUAGAUGAGAUGAGGCAAUGAAAGUGCGCACAAUUGGUUUUUCAUUUGUUCUAAUAUUAAUUUAAAAUAGCAAACAAAUGUUAUAUUAAUAUAUUGGUGCCAGGUAAAGGUUUAUGUAGACAAUAUAGGGUACGUUAGUGAUUAUACAUUUCUAGAUAGGCUUCAUUUAGUGUAUUUUAAUUCCAUUGCUAAUUUGGAAAUACAUUAUUUUCGGAUGCAUGUACGUUUUUAUUUGGACCAUUUUUUGGAAGUCCAUCUGUCGCUCAGUGAAACGCCAUUCUUUGCAUCAGUACAACACGCCUGACUGCAGGACCACUUAUUCAAGACCUGCAGUUGUCUCAGGGGUGCCCUACUGAACCAGCAAGCAAAGACAUCAGGAUGGAUUAGAGCUUUGAUUUUGCUCAACAAGUGCACUAUCCUUCUUACCCUAUGCAGCCAGGUCCCAUCUACUUUUUAACUCCUCGCAGGUGUGGCUUGUUUGGUGUCUGCUGUGAAGGAAUGCCACAACAAGUCAACUACUUGACUGAUGAAGGCCUGUCAUCCAGCAAAGGCAGCAGCGCAGUCAUCAAAUACAUGCACCAUUUCUUCACCAACUACGGAGUUGGGGAAACACGUGGGGACCUGAAUUGUGAUAACUGCAGUGGCCAAAACAAGAACAAGUUUGUGCUCUGGUAUUGUGCCUGGCGGAUCAUGCACAAGAUCCACCACAGUCUGGACCUUCACUUCCUGAUCAGAGGCCACAUCAAGUUUGCUGGUGCUUCGGCCUCAUCAAGCAGCCCUUCAGAAAGACCAGAGUGAAUACUUUGUCUGAGAUGGUUGGUGUUGUGAAAGACAACACAGUGACAGGGGUCAACAUCCCACAGCUGGUUGGACUGGAGGAUAGUACGGUGCUGGUGGAAGGCUAUGGCUGGCAACCACACCUGACUCCGUACUUCAGGCCGCUGCCACAGAUCAAGCAGUACCAGCA